UUGAUGGCUCGGUGAGGCCUUCGGACUGGCCCAGGGAGGUCGGCAACGACCACCCAGGGCCGGAAAGUUGGUCAAACCCGGUCAUUUAGAGGAAGUAAAAGUCGUAACAAGGUCUCCGUAGGUGAACCUGCGGAGGGAUCAUU
RNAcentral lists this ribosomal RNA (143 nucleotides) under Cladosporium halotolerans. Its description in RNAcentral is "partial 18S ribosomal RNA". It matches the Rfam family "Eukaryotic small subunit ribosomal RNA", at positions 1690 to 1830 of the family's 1831-position model. Lineage: Eukaryota; Fungi; Ascomycota; Dothideomycetes; Cladosporiales; Cladosporiaceae. The record is from RNAcentral.